GCCAUCUUCCUCUGUGUUCGCUAUGGCGUCUUGUACUUCUACCCAACGUUGCCCCUCAGCCCCCCAGCCCCCGAGCUCACUGCCCUCGGCCCGCAUCUCCGGAUGCUUCCUCCGGGACUGCGGGAUACGGAGCCUGCCGCCUAGGAACCCGAUUUCUCCGUCUCGUCCAUGGAAGCACGGGUCAUAGUGGCCGCAUGCGCAGUGCUAACUCAGCGGCCCGCGCCUUUUGACCGCUGUUGUGGUGGAGAUUGUGGUGAGGAAGGAGACCAGAAGAUGACGACGACAAUGACACAGCAGAAGGGCCGGGUUACACUUGGGCUUCUUUCUUUGAAGUCUGAGAAGACAGUCUGUCAGGCCGAGCUCAUUACACUAAGGUAAGACAGCCUGACCCUCCGGUCUCCCUUUCCCAUCAGAUCUUGACACUGGUCUUGGUGGUCGUAAAGGAGGGAGAGCACCCUGAAGCUGGCCUCACAGCGAUGCAGUCUGCUGUAGAGCGGCAGGCCAGAUUCGGACAUGCCUGGGCUUUGUAAAAUGGGUAACUUCCCCCUGGGCAGGUAUUGCUACUGAAUGCUGGCUUACUUUCAUGUUUUGUUUUGUUUUUAGGGUCCAUGUAACCAGUGAAGCGGCCAUUAUACAUGAUUUGGUCUACAGUUGUUGGGUAAGCUUAAGGAUUAAGAACCCUUUUCCUAAGUAGUAUAGCAGAAAUUCAGGUUUGCAUAGUGACUAGCCAUCACCUCCACAAUUCAUGCCUGAACUGUGUGCUUGAUUAGUUAGCUGUUAAUAUCUGGGGCAAAGGUGCUUGCCAAGUGGCUUGGUUAGUAUUUGCCCUUUGAAGACCAUUGCAUGAGUACAAUCAAACACUGGUCCAUGAUGAAACCCAUUAUCAGUGGACAUCUGUGGAUGAGAAAUGCGGAUAUGGGACUGAGAC
RNAcentral lists this long non-coding RNA (928 nucleotides) under Mus pahari (shrew mouse). Its description in RNAcentral is "lncRNA (MGP_PahariEiJ_G0006257.1)". The stretch from base 388 to 517 matches the Rfam family "Small nucleolar RNA SNORA61". Lineage: Eukaryota; Metazoa; Chordata; Mammalia; Rodentia; Muridae. The record is from RNAcentral.